Molecule: long non-coding RNA, 2635 nt
Filed under: Olea europaea (common olive)
Lineage: Eukaryota; Viridiplantae; Streptophyta; Magnoliopsida; Lamiales; Oleaceae
Description: long non-coding RNA (OEUR_LNC011856)
Source: RNAcentral
ACCGAAGGAGCCCUUAUGUAUUGUAAAUUUUAUAUAAUAUGGACUAUAUAUAUCUACUUUCGACUCUACUCCAACAAAUACCAUUUCACCGAAAAAAAGAGAUGUCAAUAUGCCGUCUAUUUCCAUUUAAUACUACGUGCUAAAUAUGAGCUGGUUGUACAUUAACAAGCUUUUAUUUUAAUAAAAUUAACUCCACGAGCCCCUCGGGACACAGCUCAACUGGUGGAUCAAUCAACAUUGUCUUGCUUCCAGCGGCAGGGUGGAGGGUUGGAUUCCUAGUGAAAACCUACAGCCAAAAAUUUGGUAUGGAGCAAUCACUGUGGAGGAGGGUCUCUUGUGCGCAGAAGUGUACAGGCAAUGGGGGAACCUGUAAUCCAGUUGAGGCAUAACCCGCGAUUUACCCCCUUCAAGGUUUUAGGGGCAUGGGUCUUGGGGGGUCCAGGAUUUAGUCUGGUAUAAGCUGGGAUACCUAGAUAUCAAAAAAAAAAAAAAAAACUCCAUGAAACAGGAUUAUAAUCCAGAGAAUAUCUCAUAUACAAAAUCCAAAUGGAAACGAAUGAUAAUUAGGUUACAAACAGAAGCCGGCUUACAAAUUCCAAGCCAAAAACAGUCAAAACAACACACUGUUGCUUAUGUACUUUUACUAAGCCGGCUUAAUAUCAGUAUUCAGUAUACUAAACUCAAAUUUUGUCUAUAAAAACCCACAUAAUUUGCAGUUUCUGAAAUGCCCUUUUUCAUUAAUCACUUGUUUUUUCCUUUGCAACAUGAAAUUUGUUAAACUUUUUUCUCUAAUUUUGUUGUUUAGAUUUGCAUUAGCACAUGAAGCCACCCUCAAUAAAAAGGUACUGCAUGCAUGAGCCUAUGUAAAAUCUAGUUUGAUUAUAGUAUUUUAGACUUGAGUCUAUUAAAAGAUCCACAUGCAUACUAUGAUUUUUUUUUUUUUUUUUUUAUAACCAUGAGUGUCCGAGCCAAGCAUACUAUGAUUUUAUAGCUACAUAUCUUACAUGAUGCGAGUAGAAAUUCAACACAUACUAUAAUUUGAUAUCCAUAGACUGCGAGCAUUUGGUACUGAAAUUAUAUUGCACUAGAUAGUACAUAAAAAAAAUGUUCACUAUGUCAAAUCUUGUCUGCUACUAUACUGAUAUAACAAAAUUAUCCUUCAAAGUUUAAGUACUAAUAUUUCCUGUGCAUGCUUACGAGUAAGGUGGAUAAUCUUGAUUUUUCACAAUCUUGCAGCAUUACAUAGUCUACAAGGGGCAUAACUCCCAACACCCCAACUCAGAAUCUGCCAUUAAGGCCAACCUUGAAGUGCUGGCUUCAGUAACUGGAAGGUAACGAUGCAAUUCCCAGCAAUCAUAUUCUAGUAAGUUGUUAUUUUUGCUCGUCUAGUAAGGUGAAUUGUAGAGUGCGGGACCUUAUUAAUAACUAAAACAAGCUGAAAAUUUGUUAACUAAACUAUCCAAUCCUAUCUAGUACUAUGGUCUGUGUACCAAACAAGAAACUAAAAUGCCGGUGAAUUUGUUUUCAGCCAUGGAGUACAAGAUGCAGCACUUCACCAUUAUACAAAAACUUUCAGAGGCUUCUCUGCUAUGCUAACAACAGAUCAAGCUGCAAAACUUGCAGGUACCCUCUGAUAACUAGAAGGUCUAAUAACACGUGCAGGCAUGUGCAAUGAACCCGUUUGCCAGUGGAACAUCUUAUGGUCGUGCUUCUAGUAGAGACAUUAAACAUGCUAAAAUUAAACUUAACUCGUAUGAUUGAAGAUCAAUCAAAUUACAAGACUUCAUAUAGGUUUCCCUUUACCAAGGCAGCGAUAAUGAUUCUGUAUUGUCUAAAUACCUCAUUACAGUUUAUGGCAUUCUUAAAUUUUCAGAUAUAACCUCGGUUGCUAUUCUUUCAAGUACAAUUACUACAAAAUAUAGAGGAAUAAUAUAUAACAAGAAGCCUACUCUAGCUUUGAUUGUUUCAUUGAUUGCAGAGCACGAUUCAGUUCUGUCUGUGUUUGAAAGCAAGACAAACAAGAUCCACACGACACACUCGUGGGAAUUUCUGGGCUUAAACAGAUUGCAACGAAAUAAUCAAUUUUCAAUGCACUCAACAUCUGACAUAAUUGUUGGUGUCAUUGACAGUGGUAAAGUCGAUAUUUAAUAUUGUUUGAACCUUCUAAUGCUCUUGAAUCAACCACUAUAAAAUCACACUACCAAUUAUUUUACCUCCAGGUAUUUGGCCUGAAUCGAAGAGCUUCAACAGCUAUGGAUUAGGACCUGUGCCCGCAAAAUUCAAGGGGGAAUGCUCAACUGGAGAGAAUUUCACAUUGUCGAACUGCAACAGGUAGCUAUCAUUGUAUAACCGCACAGUAUAUGAUAAGCAUACUUCAGAAAAGUUGAUAUACUACCGUCUGAAUUCAUUUUCAGAAAAAUUGUGGGAGCUAGAUUUUAUUCAACAGGGUUUGAAGCAGAAAAUGGUCCUCUAGAAUCAUUUGGUCUUACCUUUUUCCGAUCUGCACGAGAUAGUGAUGGGCACGGAACCCAUACUGCUUCCACUAUUGCUGGCUCACCUGUCGAUAAUGUUAGCUUAUUUGGAGUAGGGAAAGGCACUGCAAGUGGAGGUGCAAUAAGUGCUCGACUUGCAAUCU